Molecule: ribosomal RNA, 172 nt
Filed under: Octaviania asterosperma
Lineage: Eukaryota; Fungi; Basidiomycota; Agaricomycetes; Boletales; Boletaceae
Description: partial 28S ribosomal RNA
Rfam family: Eukaryotic large subunit ribosomal RNA
Source: RNAcentral
UUGACCUCAAAUCAGGUAGGACUACCCGCUGAACUUAAGCAUAUCAAUAAGCGGAGGAAAAGAAACUAACAAGGAUUCCCCUAGUAACUGCGAGUGAAGCGGGAAAAGCUCAAAUUUUGAAUCUGGCGGUCAAGCGACCGUCCGAAUUGUAAUCUAGAGAAGUGUCUUCCGC